RNAcentral lists this long non-coding RNA (5406 nucleotides) under Triticum aestivum (bread wheat). RNAcentral's name for it is "long non-coding RNA (TAES_LNC013764)". Lineage: Eukaryota; Viridiplantae; Streptophyta; Magnoliopsida; Poales; Poaceae. The record is from RNAcentral.
UUUUCUAUGUUCAAAAUGCACCAUUCAAAGCCACAUCAUCAAUUUUCAACCCUGUCUGACUUCAUUUGUUAUUUUUCAUGCAUUUACUUAUUUUUAUGAGUUAUAAGACCCUAAAAUUGAAAAGCAUUUCAAAUGAACUCUGAAAAGGUUGAAAGUUGGCAUGGUAUCAUCAUUUCACCCACAUAGCAUGUGCAAGAAAGUCGAGAGGCUUACGGCAAAAACUGGAUGCACUUCGUGUACAAAACGGACAAUCUCUUUCGAAGUAUCAGGGUUUCAUGCUGAAACUCGUCUGUUACAAAGGGAUUUCAUUUUUAGAACUUAUUUGAACUCCAUAGUUUUUCUGUGUUCAAAACGCACCAUUCAAAGCCAUUUCAUCAAUUUUCAACCCUUUCUGACUUCAUUUGUUAUUUUUCAUGCAUUUGCUGAUUUUUUUGAGCUAUAAGACCCUGGAAUUGUAAAGCAUUUCAAAUGAACUCUCAAAAGGUUGAAAGGUUGCAUGGUAUCAUCAUUUCACCCACAUAGCAUGUGCAAGAAAGUAGAGAGGCUUACGGCAAAAACUGGAUGCACUUCGUGUACAAAACGGACAAUCUCUUUCGAAGUAUCAGGGUUUCAUACGGAAACUCGUCUGUUACAAAGGGAUUUCAUUUUUUUGAACUUAUUUGAACUCCAUAGUUUUUCUGUGUUCAAAAUGCACCANNNNNNNNNNAGAAAGUAGAGAGGCUUACGACAAAAACUGGAUGCACUUCGUGUACAAAACGGACAAUCUCUUUCGAAGUAUCAGGGUUUCAUACGGAAACUCGUCUGUUACAAAGGGAUUUCAUUUUUUUGAACUUAUUUGAACUCCAUAGUUUUUCUGUGUUCAAAAUGCACCAUUCAAAGCCACAUCAUCAAUUUUCAACCCUUUCUGACUUCAUUUGUUAUUUUUCAUGCAUUUACUGAUUUUUUUGAGCUAUAAGACCUUGAAAUUGAAAAGCAUUUCAAAUGAACUCUGAAAAGGUUGAAAGUUGGCAUGGUAUCAUCAUUUCACUCACAUAGCAUGUGNNNNNNNNNNNNNNNNNNNNNNNNNNNNNNNAGUAUCAGGGUUUCAUACGGAAACUCGUCUGUUACAAAGGGAUUUCAUUUUUUGAACUUAUUUGAACUCCAUAGUUUUUCUGUGUUCAAAAUGCAACAUUCAAAGCCACAUCAUCAAUUUUCAACACUUUCUGACUUCAUUUGUUAUUUUUCAUGCAUUUGCUGAUUUUUUUGAGCUAUAAGACCCUGAAAUUGAAAAGCAUUUCAAAUGAACUCUAAAAAGGUUGAAAGUUGGCAUGGUAUCAUCAUUUCACCCACGUAGCAUGUGCAAGAAAGUAGAGAGGCUUACGGCAAAAACUGGAUGCACUUCGUGUACAAAACGGACAAUCUCUUUCGAAGUAUCAGGGUUCCAUACGGAAACUCGUCUGUUACAAAGGGAUUUCAUUUUUUUGAACUUAUUUGAACUCCAUAGUUUUUCUGUGUUCAAAAUGCACCAUUCAAAGCCACAUCAUCANNNNNNNNNNAAAGUAGAGAGGCUUACGACAAAAACUGGAUGCACUUCGUGUACAAAACGGACAAUCUCUUUCGAAGUAUCCGGGUUUCAUACGGAAACUCGUCUGUUACAAAGGGAUUUCAUUUUUUUGAACUUAUUUGAACUCCAUAGUUUUUAUGUGUUCAAAAUGCACCAUUCAAAGCCACAUCAUCAAUUUUCAACACUUUCUGACUUCAUUUGUUAUUUUUCAUGCAUUUACUUAUUUUUAUGAGUUAUAAGACCCUAAAAUUGAAAAGCAUUUCAAAUGAACUCUGAAAAGGUUGAAAGUUGGCAUGGUAUCAUCAUUUCACCCACAUAGCAUGUGCAAGAAAGUCGAGAGGCUUACGGCAAAAACUGGAUGCAAUUCGUGUACAAAACGGACAAUCUCUUUCAAAGUAUCAGCGUUUCAUACUGAAACUCGUCUGUUACAAAGGGAUUUCAUUUUCUGAACUUAUUUGAACUCCAUAGUUUUUCUGUGUUCAAAACGCACCAUUCAAAGCCAUUUCAUCAAUUUUCAACCCUUUCUGACUUCAUUUGUUAUUUUUCAUGCAUUUGCUGAUUUUUUUGAGCUAUAAGACCCUGGAAUUGUAAAGCAUUUCAAAUGAACUCUGAAAAGGUUGAAAGUUGGCUUGGUAUCAUCAUUUCACCCACAUAGCAUGUGCAAGAAAGUAGAGAGGCUUACGGCAAAAACUGGAUGCACUUCGUGUAUAAAACGGACAAUCUCUUUCGAAGUAUCAGGGUUUCAUACGGAAACUCGUCUGUUACAAAGGGAUUUCAUUUUUUUUGAACUUAUUUGAACUCCAUAGUUUUUCUGUGUUCAAAAUAUGCACCAUUCAAAGCCACAUCAUCAAUUUUCAACACUUUCUGACUUCAUUUGUUAUUUUUCAUGCAUUUGCUGAUUUUUUUGAGCUAUAAGACCCAGAAAUUGAAAAGCAUUUCAAAUGAACUCUGAAAAGGUUGAAAGUUGGCAUGGUAUCAUCAUUUCACCCACAUAGCAUGUGCAAGAAAGUAGAGAGGCUUACGACAAAAACUGGAUGCACUUCGUGUACAAAACGGACAAUCUCUUUCGAAGUAUCAGGGUUUCAUACGGAAACUCGUCUGUUACAAAGGGAUUUCAUUUUUUUGAACUUAUUUGAACUCCAUAGUUUUUCUGUGUUCAAAAUGCACCAUUCAAAGCCACAUCAUCAAUUUUCAACCCUUUCUGACUUCAUUUGUUAUUUUUCAUGCAUUUACUGAUUUUUUUGAGCUAUAAGACCUUGAAAUUGAAAAGCAUUUCAAAUGAACUCUGAAAAGGUUGAAAGUUGGCAUGGUAUCAUCAUUUCACUCACAUAGCAUGUGNNNNNNNNNNAGUAUCAGGGUUUCAUACGGAAACUCGUCUGUUACAAAGGGAUUUCAUUUUUUGAACUUAUUUGAACUCCAUAGUUUUUCUGUGUUCAAAAUGCAACAUUCAAAGCCACAUCAUCAAUUUUCAACACUUUCUGACUUCAUUUGUUAUUUUUCAUGCAUUUGCUGAUUUUUUUGAGCUAUAAGACCCUGAAAUUGAAAAGCAUUUCAAAUGAACUCUAAAAAGGUUGAAAGUUGGCAUGGUAUCAUCAUUUCACCCACGUAGCAUGUGCAAGAAAGUAGAGAGGCUUACGGCAAAAACUGGAUGCACUUCGUGUACAAAACGGACAAUCUCUUUCGAAGUAUCAGGGUUCCAUACGGAAACUCGUCUGUUACAAAGGGAUUUCAUUUUUUUGAACUUAUUUGAACUCCAUAGUUUUUCUGUGUUCAAAAUGCACCAUUCAAAGCCACAUCAUCANNNNNNNNNNACCCUGAAAUUGAAAAGCAUUUCAAAUGAACUCUGAAAAGGUUGAAAGUUGGCAUGGUAUCAUCAUUUCACCCACAUAGCAUGUGCAAGAAAGUAGAGAGGCUUACGGCAAAAACUGGAUGCACUUCGUGUACAAAACGGACAAUCUCUUUCGAAGUAUCAGGGUUUCAUACGGAAACUCGUCUGUUACAAAGGGAUUUAAUUUUUUUGAACUUAUUUGAACUCCAUAGUUUUUCUGUGUUCAAAAUGCACCAUUCAAAGCCACAUCAUCAAUUCUCAUCCCUGUGUGACUUCAUUUGCUAUUUUUUCAUGCAUUUACAGAUUUUUUUAGCUAUAAGACCCUGAAAUUGAAAAGCAUUUCNNNNNNNNNNAAAGUUGGCAUGGUAUCAUCAUUUCACCCACAUAGCAUGUGCAAGAAAGUAGAGAGGCUUACGGCAAAAACUGGAUGCACUUCGUGUACAAAACGGACAAUCUCUUUCGAAGUAUCAGGGUUUCAUGCGGAAACUCGUCUGUUACAAAGGGAUUUCAUUUUUUGAACUUAUUUGAACUCCAUAGUUUUUCUGUGUUCAAAAUGCAACAUUCAAAGCCACAUCAUCAAUUUUCAACACUUUCUGACUUCAUUUGUUAUUUUCAUGCAUUUACUGAUUUUUUUUAGCUAUAAUACCCUGAAAUUGAAAAGCAUUUCAAAUGAACUCUGAAAAGGUUGCAAGUUGUCAUGGUAUCAUCAUUUCACCCACAUAGGAUGUGCAAGAAAGUAGAGAGGCUUACGGCCAAAACUGGAUGCACUUCGUGUACAAAACGGACAAUCUCUUUCGAAGUAUCAGGGUUCCAUACGGAAACUCGUCUGUUACAAAGGGAUUUCAUUUUUUUGAACUUAUUUGAACUCCAUAGUUUUUCUGUGUUCAAAAUGCACCAUUCAAAGCCACAUCAUCAAUUUUCAACCCUGUCUGACUUCAUUUGUUAUUUUUCAUGCAUUUACUUAUUUUUAUGAGUUAUAAGACCCUAAAAUUGAAAAGCAUUUCAAAUGAACUCUGAAAAGGUUGAAAGUUGGCAUGGUAUCAUCAUUUCACCCACAUAGCAUGUGCAGGAAAGUCGAGAGGCUUACGGCAAAAACUGGAUGCACUUCGUGUACAAAACGGACAAUCUCUUUCAAAGUAUCAGCGUUUCAUGCUGAAACUCGUCUGUUACAAAGGGAUUUCAUUUUUUGAACUUAUUUGAACUCCAUAGUUUUUCUAUGUUCAAAACGCACCAUUCAAAGCCAUUUCAUCAAUUUUCCACCCUUUCUGACUUCAUUUGUUAUUUUUCAUGCAUUUGCUGAUUUUUUUGAGCUAUAAGACCCUGGAAUUGUAAAGCAUUUCAAAUGAACUCUGAAAAUGUUGAAAGUUGGCAUGGUAUCAUCAUUUCACCCACAUAGGAUGUGCAAGAAAAUAGAGAGGCUUACGGCAAAAACUGGAUGCACUUCGUGUACAAAACGGACAAUCUCUUUCGAAGUAUCAGGGUUUCAUACGGAAACUCGUCUGUUACAAAGGGAUUUCAUUUUUUUGAACUUAUUUGAACUCCAUAGUUUUUCUGUGUUCAAAAUGCACCAUUCAAAGCCACAUCAUCAAUUUUCAUCCCUGUGUGACUUCAUUUGUUAUUUUUUCAUGCAUUUACUGAUUUUUUUGAGCUAUAAGACCCUGAAAUUGAAAAGCAUUUCAAAUGAACUCUGAAAAGGUUGAAAGUUGGAUUGGUAUCAUCAUUUCACCCACAUAGCAUGUGCAAGAAAGUAGACAGGCUUACGGCAAAAACUGGAUNNNNNNNNNNGUUUUUCUGUGUUCAAAAUGCAACAUUCAAAGCCACAUCAUCAAUUUUCAACACUUUCUGACUUCAUUUGUUAUUUUUCAUGCAUUUGCUGAUUUUUUUGAGCUAUAAUACCCUGAAAUUGAAAAGCAUUUCAAAUGAACUCUGAAAAGGUUGAAAGUUGGCAUUGUAUCAUCAUUUCACCCACAUAGCAUGUGCAAGAAAGUAGAGAGGCUUACGGCAAAAACUGGAUGCACUUCGUGUACAAAACGGA